Molecule: long non-coding RNA, 1748 nt
Organism: Hylaeus volcanicus
Lineage: Eukaryota; Metazoa; Arthropoda; Insecta; Hymenoptera; Colletidae
Exons: 3
Source: RefSeq, a predicted model, not a curated record
UAUGCGUGACGAUUUACGAUCAACGCUUGGAAGAGUUACGACUGCUACUAGUUUUUUCAACGAAUGUCGCAGCGUGAAGUCUAGCAAAGGAUGAAUAUUACAGUUCUGAAACUAUCAUAAGAAAGAUGGUUGUGCCAAUGUUGUGUUUCUUCGGUAUUGAAGACCUGUGUUGUACACUUCAUCAAGACCAGAACAGUAUGCUAAUUACCUUUUGCUUUCAAGUUGCAAGAUGAGCCCAAGCCAGACGAUCGUGUGUCAGGAUGCUGUUGUUACUCAGCUUAGCAGAGUUCGAAACGCAGAUUUAAAAGAGUCGGUAAAGCAUCGCUGAAGAUCCACGCGUUAAAACGAAAGGGUGUGGCGUGCGUAGAAGUUGGAACAAAGGGGAUCACAUUGUCGAGGAGGCAAGUGGAUCCGUGAAGGGAUUACCAGGCAAAUAUUUAUGUAGCCAGCCCCUUGGGGGACGGUGGAUCAUCAAAUUCCAAUGACAAAACGGACACAGCCACGGGUGGCGACGAUACCCCUGCGAGGGGUUACAUCCGCAUAUGCUGCUCCAUUCGCAGCCGAUGCUUUACGCUUUAUCCAGGCAUCCCGAAUCGUUGUAACCCAUAGGUGAAAGCGAAACGCGAUUAAACUCGCUCGAGAUCGUCGUCCAUCGCCAGGAUUAACCGUUUUACCAACUUUUUAACACGUUAACGUUGCUCGACGUAACGUCAAUUCCAGUUAUCACAGUAACCCUCGAUUUGCAACGAGCACACGGGAAAGUAGAGUACCAACCAUUGAAAAGGGAAUCGAUUCGAGGGUGGUAGCGUUAAUCGAAUAUAGUUUUUUUUUUUCUAGAUCGAGCCAGGAUCAUCUUCUCCCAACGAGGGAAAUCGAAGGGUGCGACGUGUUGAUCCGAUUUUGAUGGAUGAUUUUUUCGUUUCGAUAGUCCGGGGCGUUCAGCCCACAUCAUCAGUUGUCGAAAGCGAGGAUAAAAGAGUCAUCUCGCGGAACCAUCAAUUUUCCCAUCCAGAAACAGCUGUACUUUGAGUGAAUUUUCCAAAGGACCAUUCUUCAAAAAUCCCUGGCACCGAGUUCGCCAGUUAUUCCCAAGGAAUCUACUGCAAAGUAUUCCUCUGAUAAACAGGCCGCUACACCUUAUGAAUGCUUGAUGAUGGCGUUUCACGAGGCGUCUCACCCUCUGCGUUCGAGCUCAAGGGCGAAUCUUCGUCCUCGUUCCUUCUCUGACUUUCUCCUUUCCUCCCUUUGGUAUUCCUCGAAGGCAUCCCACAACGUUUUCCGCCGCUUUCAACCCCGCGUUACCUUCUCCGUCCCCAUCCUCGGGGAUCUGCCAGGACCAAUCGUCGUUCAGCGCUGAAACGAGGUGUGAUAAGCGAGAAAGGUCAGAGCCAUCAUGGCCCCCGGCGGCUGUUCUUUCCACCUGACGCUCCUUUCAAGAUUUCACGCCUCGACGAAUUCUCCUGUGAGUUUCAAGAAACCUGCGAACCUGUCUAGAUACGCGAUUACAAGCCCGAUUAACACCUUUGCUCCUACGCCGAUGUCUGCGACAAUUUCCACGGGGCUUUCGUUUCUGGGCAAUUUGGAAGGUAAACAGCAAAUCUGAGCAAAUUAAUAUUUAGUAUGGAAACUCGCCUACAUUUCAUUCCUUAUUCAACAUUUUUAUUUAGAUAUGUAUUAGAUGCAGAAAUUAAUUCCGUGCCUUUCUAAAUUAAACUUACCGUGUAUUUGCAAAGAGAAACAAUGCAAAC